GCUGAGUUAGACAUUCUCUCCUCUGAGACAGCUAAAGAGAAGGAAAGUCUGGUGGCUGGCAAGUAAACCAACAGUUAUGUUCUUCAAAGAGGAGAUCCCAGACUCUCUAAAGUAUACUUCACUCCCACACUGUUUGUACUUCUUAAUCUCCACUCCUUUCUUGUUUCCUUCAUAAAAGUAGAAUGCUAUUCAUUUAUUUAUUUGCAAAUGUACCCUGCCCCCCUAAAAUGUAAAGUCAUUGAUGGUAGUGACCUUACCUUGUCUUUUUAAUGAAUCUCGGGCAUUGCAAGACUGUUAGGGCUUCAUUUCGGGAAAGAACUAGAAUGGUUUGUAGAGUGACACUUUAUACUGAAGAGGAAGGCAACAGCCAGAUUCUGAAAAGCUUUAUAUGUCAUCCUGAGUAAUUUGAAUUUCUGCUGCAGACAAUUGGAGAAACUGAAGGACUGUUGAACAGAGGAGGGAAACAUUUUUAUUUUGGUAGACUUUUGCAACAGUGACAAAUUAUAUUAAAAAGAUAAGGCUGCCAAAAAUGUAUAAUCCCAGUUUAACCAUGAGAAAAACAUCAGACAAAAUACCUAACCAGUACUACUCCAAACAGUUAAAGUCAUGAAAAACAAGGAAAGUCUGAGAAACUGUCUGAGCCAAGAGGAGCCUAAAGAGACCAACUUUAAUGUGGGUUCCUGAAACAGAAAUAGAACAUAAGUGGGAAAACUAAUGAAAAUUGAAUAAAAAGAGAAUAUACCAAUCUUUACAUAAAACAUGGAGAUUGGUCAAGAGAUGAGUAACCGGACCUUUCAAUGUUUCCAGGAUAGAGGCCCACUCAAGGGUUAGGGGAAGGUACUUUGUUCAAUAGUAAACUAUUGAACAAAUAUAAGGGUGCUUCAGCCUACAAUUCCAGCUGUACUUACAUGGGAAUGAAUGAGCCUUCAGAUUGUUCCUAUCAUACAGUCUUUCAGCUGGGGUCCCAAAUUUCGUAAAGCAAAGACAAACCAUCCCCACUGUGCCCAGUUCUGAAUUCCUGACCCACAGAAACAAUUAGAGGGAACGAAAAUGAUUCUUGUUACUUUAAGCCAGUAAAUUUUGGAGUUAUUUUUCAGCAAAAGAAACUAAUCUGCUAUAUGACAACAGCCAGUGAGUAAAUAUCCUUUCAAGUCCAAUCCUGCCUAAGAUGUCAAAAUCAAGAAUGAGGAGGUUAUGUGCUAAAACAGAGUGAGUCCUUUUCUCUCCUUACUCUACCCUAAGUGGUAAACUCCUGCCUCAGCUGACCACAAAAAAUAUCUUCUGGAUAUCUGUGAGGAGAAAGGAGGUAAAGCAACAAAAAUUGUGUGUGGGCUUAGAUGUUUUGUUAGAAUUACAACAGCCCAUGUGUAGCGUAGCAGAAACCAUUACAAUGAUGACUACACGGUAUAAGUACAAAAAUUUCCCCUCAUUGUAACCAUAGUCAUCUAAACUGUACAAGUUAGUUUAUUUAUAGUUUUAAUUUAUACAUCUCCAGGGAAGCCAGAAACUUCAGUUUCUCUCCCCACCUCUCUUCUCUUGCACUUUAAAAUGCUACUAAGACAAGGAAAAAGGAAAGGAAAUUUGUUCCCUCCUGGCUAACAGCUGGUCCAUCUUUGAUCACUAGGAUGAUCAAAGAAAUGUUCCUUUACCAUAUUUGGCAUAUCCUCCUCCUAUUCCAGACCACUUCCUUCGGAAUCUAUCUUUUUAUCAAUCUACUCCGACCCUUCACAUCAAAUAAUUUCAGUGACAUACAGCAGACGGACACCUCCAAAAAUACUAUCAAGACUACAUGUUGUUCAUUUAAGUUAAAAAUAAAAUGUAAACCUACUUAUCAUGACUAGGGCUCAGUGCCAACAUUUUGGCAGUUCAAGAAUAUCCAUUAAGGAAAAUAUUCUUAAUUAGAUGCUAAGGGCAAAGCUGUGUCCAAAUUAACCAACUCUAUUAGAGCGAGGUCUGGAUGCUGACUUAAAUUUGGAGAAUCAAGUAACAUUCCUGCCCUUGCCCAAGCCCAAGCAGGUAUGUGCUGUGGUUUGAAUGUGUUCUCUAAAAAUUCAUGUGUUGGAAAUGUAAUUGCCAUUGUAAUAAUAUUAAGAGGUGAAGCCUUAAAGAGGUGAUUUAGACCAUAGGGGCUAUGCCCUCAUGAAGGGAUGAAUGCCAUUACUGUGGGAGUGGAUUACUUAUCAUGGGAGUAGGAUCCUGAUAAAAAGGAUACAUUUGGCCCCCAUUUUCUCUCUGUCUUGUGCACUGUCACUACUUUGUCUCAGCCUCUCUCCUCAUGUGAUGCUUUCUGCCACAAAAUGACCUUCACCAGAUGCAGCCUCUGGAUCUUGGACUUCCGCAGUCCCCAGAACUAAUCGGUGAAGGCCAGAAGAGAGUGGACCAUCUUUAAAGUGCUGAAAAAAAGGCAGUCUAUCCAGACUUCUGUGUCUGAUAAAGUAUCCUUCAAGAAUAAGGAAAUAAACAUUUCCAGCUGAGCAGAGCCCCAUAAAUGAGAAGCCACGAAGACUUGAGGUUAUACAGUGAUCCACAGUUGCCACAGAACUGAGCAAUGGCUACAAGUUCCACCAAACCAUGCCUGUGAAGGUUACUUCUGUAAAAUCAGACAUGGCCAAUAUAUGCAUCUGGACCCUCCUUCAGCUGUCCAAGGUCAAGAGGUCCUCAGCCAAGACAAUUACAAGAUAUGGUCUCCUGAGUCUGAGUCUUCACAGGAACCUGCCCCAAGAGGCAAGAAUGAGGGGAUGCUUUGUGAGGAAUUUCCUGAAAAUCAAGGAGUAAGACCCAGAGGACAGGGGCAGUCUCUGCUCAUUCUCCAGCCAUGAGUCCACUCGGUCACAAAACAGGCCUGAACUCAUUUCCUUUGCUGCCUGAGCUUUCAAGAUUUCAAGAUCAUGGAAAACCUAAGUAGUCCCUGGGAAUGAGGCAUUUAUGUCCUUAUUCUUUGGUAAGGAGAGAAGAAAAGAAGAGGAGAGAGGAUGGUAUAAUGAAAGGAUCAAGGAGUGCUGUUAUUUUUUGAGCAAGUGAGACCAUUUGUUUAUUCUAUACAUAGGCUUUGACUCCAUUUAUUAUUUUGAACAAUCAAGAAAAAUAGCUUUCUUGAUGGUGGCAGAAGAGUGAUAUAGAAAAAGCUUUAUUGAUGGUGGCAGAAGAGUGAUGUAGAAAAAGAGCAAGGAUUUAAGAAGCAAGAAUGUUGUUCUCAAAAUUGAAACCUAACCUAGAAAAUCACAUUUGUGACCAAUGAUUAGAAUGUCACUAUGUAUUUCUUUGCAAAGAUACUCUCUUGCAUAAUUAGCCCUUAACAAUAAUAAAAGCAGGCAUCUUCGAAUUUAUUUUUAUAUAUGAUGGUAUAUGGAAACAAGUUAUACUUUAUUCAUGCAUAUGCCAGAUACUCCUCAUUUCUAAAUUGUCAAUGUUUUUAUUGGUAAAAAUCAUAUAUAUUAAAGCUACAUUUUUGUUGUAUAUAUUUAAUAUAUACAAUAUGAUGCUCUGAUAUACAUUGUGAAGUGAUUACUAUAGUCAAGCAAAUUAACAUAUCCAUCAACUCGCACAGUUACCCUUUUGUAUGUGUGGCAAGAGCAUCUAAAUUCUACUUUCUUAGCAAAAAAUCCCAAAUACAAUACAAUAUUAA
This is a non-coding RNA of Macaca mulatta (Rhesus monkey), 3625 nucleotides long. Lineage: Eukaryota; Metazoa; Chordata; Mammalia; Primates; Cercopithecidae. The record is from RefSeq and is a predicted model, not a curated record.